RNAcentral lists this long non-coding RNA (723 nucleotides) under Homo sapiens (human). RNAcentral's name for it is "DOCK8 antisense RNA 2". The record is from RNAcentral. Lineage: Eukaryota; Metazoa; Chordata; Mammalia; Primates; Hominidae.
GCCGCCCGGUGGCUUUGCUUCAGGCGGAAGUCCGCGUGCUUUGAUACCCUCAGGGGGCACUUACAGGCUAGGUGGACACAGGGCUAGGGGUAAGAAUGCAGCAGUGAACAUGGUUCCUGCACUCAUGAAGCAAAUGUAUCCACUGUGGUACAAAAGAGACUGUAAAAAACAAACCCAAAUGGACAACAGGAAAAGACAGAAGCUGAUUGAGGUCCCAGCUUGGUAACAGUUUGAAGAGUUGCAGGACUGGCUGGAUGAGUACUGGCUGCAGCAAAUCAGGCUGCCAGGAUUCUUUAUGGCUGUUUCUGCUUCCACUACAGCUGAGUCAGAAAGGUCGCUGCCCCGUGGUGGCACUAGACGCAGUGGACCUGGCAAGCAAAUGUUUCCGCUAUUAGCUCUCAGCAACAGAGACUCAUUUAUGGUCACCUUGGAAAUCUGGGCUUAUCGAUCUACAGCCCAAGUCUGCUGAGAAGCUGGAGCUUACUAAAGGGGAAACCUGAGAGCUGUUCAAGCCCCAAAUAUUUUCCACUUCUGCGUCACCUCUGCUGUCUGUUAGCAGAGUGGAGGAGAAAAUACACAGCACAAACAACGUGAAAAAAUAGUUACUCUAUUCAUUAAAAGCUGUAACUUCCAGAUUGGACUUGAGAAGCAAUUAAGCAACAGAGGAACCUCAUCUACUAUCUGUAUUCAGGCAUGCUCAUGAGAACACGCUGCUCCAGCUGG